RNAcentral lists this ribosomal RNA (427 nucleotides) under uncultured Ramlibacter sp. RNAcentral describes it as "bacterial SSU rRNA". It matches the Rfam family "Bacterial small subunit ribosomal RNA", at positions 355 to 774 of the family's 1533-position model. The record is from RNAcentral. Lineage: Bacteria; Pseudomonadati; Pseudomonadota; Betaproteobacteria; Burkholderiales; Comamonadaceae.
UGGGGAAUUUUGGACAAUGGGCGCAAGCCUGAUCCAGCCAUUCCGCGUGCAGGAUGAAGGCCCUCGGGUUGUAAACUGCUUUUGUACGGAACGAAAAGGCCUUUUCUAAUACACAGGGCUCAUGACGGUACCGUAAGAAUAAGCACCGGCUAACUACGUGCCAGCAGCCGCGGUAAUACGUAGGGUGCAAGCGUUAAUCGGAAUUACUGGGCGUAAAGCGUGCGCAGGCGGUUUUGUCAGACAGGUGUGGAAUCCCCGGGCUUAACCUGGGAACUGCAUUUGUGACUGCAAGGCUGGAGUGCGGCAGAGGGGGAUGGAAUUCCGCGUGUAGCAGUGAAAUGCGUAGAUAUGCGGAGGAACACCGAUGGCGAAGGCAAUCCCCUGGGCCUGCACUGACGCUCAUGCACGAAAGCGUGGGGAGCAAACA